UCUUCUAAUUUUUUGUUCUUGUUCUUUCUCUUUUCUUUUUUUUUUUCCUCCCCCCUAAUGAAAUAAGAAUGGGGGUUUAAAUAGGUGUUGAGCGUUAAACCCCCACUCUUCUUGAAAACUUAAGAGUCAAUGCAUGCAUUAGACUCUUUGUUUUCCCAAGGUGCCACCAAAGAAGGCCAAUGGAAUUUCCUUUCUUUUCUUUUUCUUUUUCUUUUUUCAAGAUAAAAUUAAUUGAAAGACUACAUUGCCCUUUUUAGAUGACCCAUUUCUUUUAUUCAUUAAUUGAAUAAUAGCUAAAUGGGUCAUCUGAAAAUUUAGAAUAGGC
This 325-nucleotide long non-coding RNA is filed under the name Solanum tuberosum (potato). Its description in RNAcentral is "long non-coding RNA (STUB_LNC008905)". The record is from RNAcentral. Lineage: Eukaryota; Viridiplantae; Streptophyta; Magnoliopsida; Solanales; Solanaceae.